Molecule: ribosomal RNA, 382 nt
Filed under: uncultured eukaryote
Lineage: Eukaryota
Description: partial 18S ribosomal RNA
Rfam family: Eukaryotic small subunit ribosomal RNA
Source: RNAcentral
UGUAAGCGUAUACCAAAGUUGUUGCAGUUAAAACGCUCGUAGUCGGAAUUUGGCAGUUCCGGAUGUGUGCACGUCGUGUGCGCACUUCGCGGGGAUUGCUUUUGUGGUCUUGCGUAGGAUGAGGCACUUUUAUUAGUGAACGUCCUCAGGCAACCACUUUUUACUGUGAGAAAAUCAGAGUGCUCAAAGCAGGCAUUUGCCGUGAAUGUAUUAGCAUGGGAUAAUAGAAUAGGACUUGGUUCUAUUUUGUUGGUUUGUUGGGACUGAGUAAUGAUUAAGAGGGACAGUUGGGGGCAUUUGUAUUUCGGUGCUAGAGGUGAAAUUCUUAGAUUACCGAAAGACAAACUGCUGCGAAAGCGUCUGCCAAGGAUGUUUUCAUUGA